UGUAAAAAACAUCAUUUAGCGUGACUUUCUUUCAACAGCUAACAAUUGUUGUUACUGCCUAAUGUUUUUAGGGUAUUUUAAAAAAGGGCGAUAAAAAACGAUUGGGGGAUGAGACAUGAACGCUCAAGCA
Molecule: regulatory RNA element, 130 nt
Organism: Listeria monocytogenes EGD-e
Lineage: Bacteria; Bacillati; Bacillota; Bacilli; Caryophanales; Listeriaceae
Rfam family: PrfA thermoregulator UTR
About the family: It has been shown that the untranslated mRNA (UTR) preceding prfA, forms a secondary structure, which masks the ribosome binding region.
Source: Rfam